This 497-nucleotide ribosomal RNA is filed under the name uncultured bacterium. Its description in RNAcentral is "bacterial SSU rRNA". It matches the Rfam family "Bacterial small subunit ribosomal RNA", at positions 29 to 510 of the family's 1533-position model. The record is from RNAcentral.
AAUCAACGCUGGCGGCGUGCCUAACACAUGCAAGUCGAGCGCGAAAGCGGGGCAACCCGCAAGUAGAGCGGCGAACGGGUGAGUAACGCGUGGGUGAUCUACCUCCGAGUGGGGAACAACAUCGGGAAACUGGUGCUAAUACCGCAUGACAUCCUCAGGUCACACUGAGGAUCAAAGCCGGGGACCGUAAGGCCUGGCGCUUGGAGAGGAGCCCGCGUCCGAUUAGCAGUUGGCGGGGUAACGGCCCACCAAGGCGACGAUCGGUAGCCGGCCUGAGAGGGCGGACGGCCACACUGGGACUGCGACACGGCCCAGACUCCUACGGGAGGCAGCAGUGGGGAAUUUUUCGCAAUGGGCGCAAGCCUGACGAAGCAACGCCGCGUGGGGAUGAAGGUCUUCGGAUGUAAACCCCUGUCGACCGGGAACGAAAGUACCCGACCUAACACGUCGGAAUAUUGACUGUACCGGUGGAGGAAGCCACGGCUAACUCUGUGCCA